UACGUAGGGUGCGAGCGUUAAUCGGAAUUACUGGGCGUAAAGCGUGCGUAGACGGUAAUGUAAGUCAGAUGUGAAAGCCCCGGGCUUAACCUGGGAACUGCGUUUGAUACGGAUGGGCUAGAGUUCGGGAGAGGAGAGUGGAAUUCCCAGUGUAGAGGUGAAAUUCGUAGAUAUUGGGAAGAACACCGGUGGCGAAGGCGGCUCUCUGGACCGAGACUGACGCUGAGGCGCGAAAGCGUGGGGAGCAAACAGG
This 253-nucleotide ribosomal RNA is filed under the name uncultured bacterium. RNAcentral's name for it is "partial 16S ribosomal RNA". It matches the Rfam family "Bacterial small subunit ribosomal RNA", at positions 524 to 776 of the family's 1533-position model. The record is from RNAcentral.